RNA transcript from Falco peregrinus (peregrine falcon), 6795 nucleotides. It is a transcript of the gene named GATA zinc finger domain containing 1, with no coding region annotated. Lineage: Eukaryota; Metazoa; Chordata; Aves; Falconiformes; Falconidae. The record is from RefSeq and is a predicted model, not a curated record. The transcript is spliced from 7 exons.
AGCGACAUCCGCCGCCGGCGGGAAGGGGCCGGCGCGGGGCCGGUGUUGGCGCCGCGCUCCCGCCGCCGUCUCGCUGCCGGGGGCCGCGGGCCCCGCCGCCGGCCGCAGGAUGCCGCUGGGGCUGAAGCCCACCUGCAGCGUGUGCCGCAGCACGUCCUCCUCCAUGUGGAAGAAGGGUGGCCAGGGCGAGAUCCUGUGUAACAACUGCACCGCCCGCUCCGCGCCGCCCGGGCCCGCCGCCUUCGCCACCACUUCGGCUGCCGCCCAGCACAGCAACGGCGGCGGCGGCGGGAAGCAGAGCAAGCAGGAGAUCCACCGGCGCUCCGCCCGGCUGCGGAACACCAAGUACAAGUCGGCGCCCGCCGCGGAGAAGAAGGUCUCCACGAAGGGCAAGGGGAGGAGGCACAUCUUUAAGUUAAAAAACCCCAUCAAGGCUCCCGAGUCUGUAUCCACUAUAAUUACAGCAGAAUCAAUCUUUUAUAAGGGGGUAUACUAUCAAAUUGGAGAUGUUGUUUCAGUGGUCGACGAGCAGGAUGGAAAAACAUACUACGCUCAGAUACGUGGGUUUAUUCAGGACCAAUACUGUGAAAAGAGUGCUGCGCUAACCUGGCUCAUUCCUACACAAGCCAGUCCCAAAGAUUGUUUUGAUCCAGCAUCCUAUAUCAUAGGACCAGAAGAAGAUCUUCCAAGGAAAAUGGAAUAUUUAGAAUUUGUUUGUCAUGCACCUUCGGAAUAUUUCAAAUCUCGAUCAUCUCCCUUCCCUACUGUUCCUACAAGACCAGAGAAGGGCUAUAUAUGGACUCAUGUGGGACCUACUCCUGCAAUCUCCAUUAAAGAAACUGUUACCAACAAUUUAUAAUUUUUUUAAAGGAAUACUUUGGACGAGUUAUUUUGGGUGUAUUCUCAGAUCUUUGAAGUGGAAGGUUUCUUUCCAUUUGAUGCGUCAUUUCCGUGCUCUGUUCUUCAGGCAUUAUUGCUUAUUUUGGGACAAACCCACAAGUUUCAUGUCAUCUUCCAACUCUGAACAUCAGCCAGUAACAUGGGAAGGAUGACUGACGAGCUUCUUACAGACACAGGUGAAAGAACAGGACCUCAGAGAGCAAUGUCUCUGUGAAAAUUCCUCGUAUUAGGAAGAGCAAAAGGAAGACCUGCAAAAUGGACUCUACAGCAGAAGCGAUAUUAUAGGAUCACAUGGGGAAAAGCUUUGAUGCCCUGCAGCUGAAGGAGCUGAGCUCACCCAUUCUCUCUUUUCUUGUUCGGUAUCUCCCAUGCCAAAAUUUAGGUACGUUUCAUUCUUGCAUCAUUGGACUGUGAGUGGAUAUACUACUGGUGAAUUUAUGGCCAUGUGUUAAGCUUCAGAGUUUGAUGACCCGCCAACAGACAUUCCCGUUAAGCAAUUUUAGAUCUAAAGAUGGACUGUGGAGCUAAGAGCUGGAAGAGUAUAUAUAAUAUACUGAGUAAGGUACAGAAUAUGCAGGAUGCGCCCUGAUACAUACAUUGCAGUUCCAUCUCCUGCAGGAAGAAAAUACCCUUUUUGUAGUUGUAGAAAACAAAAUCCAAAAACAUUUGCCUUGCAGAACAGGAAAAAGUUUCCACGACAGAAAUAACACAGACUUUUUUUAAAACUACUUCUAGAGGAGAAUUUUCACUUUUGUGUCUUUGUAAGAGAAAUAAUAAAAGAGCUUGAAAAGGAAAAAUCAUGGACUUAAGCAAUGUACUUGCUUCUCAAGGUGUAAGAGGCACUCAAUGAAGUCGUUUGGUUGGCAAUUGUACGCAGGUUAAUAAUAGCAAUACUCAUCCAAAUAAAAAUAAAGAAGCAAACAAAACUUUUCUAGUGACUGAUAGCUCAACUAAACAUAGGAAAUAAAAAGUAACAGCUUUAUUUGCUGAAAACAAAGCAUUCGGAUUUCAUAUAUGUGAAGACUGCCUAUUAAAUACUCAAUAUUUUUUCAGCAUAUUUUUAUAUUAUUGAAAUGGAGUCUUCGUUAUGAAAAGCCAUACUCAUUGAAAUGGAAAAAUGACUCGCUUCAGAUGCAUACAUGCAAAUAAUUUUUUCUCAGGUAGUUGUCUGUCAUAUAUUUGUAGGCACUGGGUCUGUAGUAAAUUUUUUACCUCUAAAUUGCCUGAGUGAGUAUUGUUGAAGAUGUGGAGAUUUGUAUUUGAAGGCUGGAUCAAGGGGAAAAAUACAAGGGCUGUAUUUUCUAGAACUGAAUUUAUUCAAUUUUCCAGGUUUUAAUAAUUUAUGCCUAGAAACUUUUUGAUAAGCACUGUAGUGGCAUACCCAUGGGGUUUACAUUCUAACAAAGGCUUUUUAAUUCUGCUGCUUUGUUGGGGUGUCUGCAUCUCCUUCCAACGCCUGAACGUGAGGACCAGAGCUACCUGGGCCAGUACAGACAGCCUUGGGUGGGCAGGAUCUGAGCCCAUUACAGAGUAGAAGCCAGACUUGGGACCCAGUUAACAGAUCUGGCCUUAGACCAACUUUUUUCCCUUCCCUCCAUGCCCAAGAGCCCCUAGCUGUUCGGUUUUCUUCCUCAACACUUUGCACCUCACCAAGCACAGCAACACACGCUGACUGAACAUGUGAGCCCUGAACUUGCAGAGAAGCUACAAUGGUUGCAUUUGGUGCUAUAGACCAACACUGACCAUUUCAACCUGAAGAACGGGCUGAGAGACAAUGAAAAGCCUAACAAUCAGUAAGUGGAACUUUGCGGUUUUCAACACACAGGGUAAGUGUAUAUAUAUAUAUACACACUUUUUUUUUUUUUUUUUUUUUUACUAUCCUCACGUUGCAAUUCCAGCCUUCAAGGAAGAAAAAGCAGUAUGGAAGAUGUGAAUAGAAAGUGUUAAGAAAUUAGAUUAGAUUUCCUUCUCAUGCCACCAAGACAACCAGAAGAUGUAGGAAAAGUAGCAAAAUACUAACCCGGUUCACUCCAGCAGAGGUCCCAAGUGGUACUGUUAACAGCGUCUUGGUUUGUAACACUUAUCUGAACAAGCGGUUUGCAUCAUUUCCGUGUACUUUGGAAGUGAAAGCCAGCAAUAGUACUCCAGCUGCUUUAAUACCCUUGUCCUAGGAAAAGCGCAAGCAGUAGUUACAAGACUGCAAAAUACACAUUUCAGCAUGCACCUUGAGCACAACAGGAUUGCCAAAGUGUGAAUGAAGAAAAAUGUCCCCCUGCUUGUGCUCAGUGCUGUUCCCCUUGGCUUUCUUUGCAUACUCUUCAAACCCAGGUUUCUUUACAUCCACAGCUCCCAGAGGGCCAAGAACACAAGGUGAUGAAUUGUCAAAGAUGACUGAUGAACAGUGACAAGCAACGGUGCUGAACAGUAAGUUUUAUACUGGUGAUGGUAUACAGGAUGAUUUAUGCUGCCUAGAUUUCAAAAGUCUGUGUCUGUGAUCAUCUCUGAUGCUUUCUGGAGCCUGUGUGCUGAAGAUGAGGCUUACGCAAAGAGGGUGACUUUUCCCUUCCUUCCACAUUGGAAAUGUAUAUUUAAUAGAUGUUGUGAAUAGUCUUAUUUCCCCUACAUCGCUGAAAAAGCAAGUAAAAGGAAACCAGCAAUUGCCUACUUAAGGAAGGUGGGCAUUCACUGCUGAUGUUAACAUCUCCACUAGCAAAUAUGGAUGGUUUGUAUGUCACACAAACCUGCAAAAGGACACGAAACUUUCCCAGGAGCCGCUAAUGUGCUGUGCCUGAGGCAAGGCAGUCAUUGCAGCAGCCCAUACUGCUCAAUGCAUCCAAAGCAAGCAGGCUCCUGUUGCAUUUAGGGUGUAGCCCUUCUUAUUUACAUUUUUUUAACCUGUUAGCCUAAUCUGCCAACUACUUGGAAAUUGAAGCCAAUUUCCAAAAUUGUGGGAAUCUGCAUACAGAAUUUUCCAGUUACCUCUCCUGAAGGCAUCAUGACAUAGCAGAGUGAAAAUGUUAUUUAGCUGGUUUACAGAGGAACAGCUUUAUUUAUUUUUUUUUCUCAUGUCCUGCACAUGGAGGUGGAAUCCCAGGAGAUCUUCACUUGCUGUUUUUCCACCAGGAUCUUACUGAUACUGAUCCUUCGCACUAGUCAUCGUUCUGCACUGGGUGUUUUGUCCAUGUGUUUCCCAUCUUCUGAAAUAUCACAAAACAAUUAGUGACUAGUAACUUCAAAACAAGAAUUGACUGUAGGAAGUAUAAUGAAUGGCCAAGGGAAAGCUUUGUCAUUCUUUCUCGAGAAACAAGGUCUUUACCUAUGAAAUCUUGAUCUCUGUGCACCUAUUGGUUCAGAGCUGGAUGCAUAAACUAGCUGUAAAGUCUGACUGCACAAACUAGUCAUGGCAUUAAGGAUUUAAAUAUUACAUACACGUUCAACAGAACAUCAUCAAACGUUAUAAGCAAAUAUCAGGUAGCAAAGCUUACUGAAAAACUUACCCAUGUUCAUCCCCUGCAUACAACCAAUAGUGGGAUGGUUGUACAGUGUGUAAGGAAGCCUUUUGUGUCAAGAAGAUCAAUAGUUUUUCAUGGUGCUGAUCUUACUAACUUCUGGUUCAAUCUUCCUGCUUUCUUAGUUCUUUUGUUUCUAAACUGCUUAGUAACAGACCACUGCUAGGCAAGAUAAAAGAUUCGUCCCCUUUUCAAACAAACUGUGGAGGAAAUGGAAGCGGAUGCUGCAUUUGUCGUUGGCCAAAACAAAACCGAAUCAAACUACUUCAUACCUGCAGAGUUUGCAGAGCCUGUCUGUGGCUUAAUUGCUCCCUCUGUCAGGUACAUGGAAAUGGUAUGCUGAAACUUUAACAUAUCCAUGUAAGGCUAUAGAUAGAAACACAUACUGUGGGAUAAUGACAGGAACGUACAUUGUGACAUGCUUCCUCCAUAGGCUUUCAAGUCAAGCUUAACCUGUUCAUAAGGACCUACAGCCCACCCUGAGUAAGUUGAGACUGUCAAAAAAGGAACUGACAAGUUCACUGUAGCUUUUAGUGACCAACAUUUUUGACCAACCCACUACAGUACUUUGAGGUAGAAACAGUGCCUCUUGUAGAAAAUUAGUGUAACAAAACUCAGUGCAAGAUCUGGGGAAAAUCUGUUUAACAACUCUCUUAACAAACUGGUUUUACACACUCACAUUAAUGCCAUGAAGGAAUGCCACGUGAUAGGCUGGCUUGUUGCCGUCCUCCCCUCGUAGAAGUGCAGGGCCCUCUGCAGAAGCUGUCCAUGCCACGGUCUUGUCAGCGUGCGACCAUCAAGGCUUGCCCCGCUCCCUGGCCAGACUGCCUGGGCGCAGCUUCCAUCGCUAUUGAUGCAGACCAUGCCUUUCACUCCUGUUCUGCUGUUUCCGCUGGUGCUGGCACCCCGCCACCCACAGCAACCCCCACUUCUCUGUUACAGAGCUCUACAUUCUUUCUUCCCCCAAUGCUCAGAAGCAGAGUUUCAGAGUAACAUAGGAACAGAUGUACCAGGGCAAACCUAAACUCUGCAUAGUAGCCCACCUCCAAUAACGGCCAAAUUCCAGCUUCUAAUGCCUCACAGACUGGUAUUGAGAUCCAGGCAAUCACCAUAUUACUUGCUGAAACACAUUUCAGAGAUGCGUGUUUAGGACUCCUCAGUAGAAUGAACUGACUUUUCCAGCUCUGCUGUAUCCUUUUUGGUGCAGAAGGACCUAAACUGCACGUAACCUUCAACAGCACACAGGCAGGAACACCACGGAUUUUUAUAUUAUGACAGAACACUUUCUGAAGUCUUUUCUAUUUCUUCUCUAAGAAUUUCUAACAUUCAAAUUCUUCUUAACAACAAGCUGGUGUUUCAUGGGGGAUCAUUACUGAAGAGCAAUGGUCAUUAGACCCUACCAUGGUGCUUUUCCUUUCCCUUUAUCUACAGUAAAGUGCCUCUAAGUGCAGUCAGCACAUUUUGUGAAGGGCUGUAGUGCUUUAUGGCCAACCUUUGCUUUCACAGGCCUGAGAAGGUUACUCAUCAGGGUUUUUUGCUGUUGGUGGUUUCACCCUUCGCUCUCCCUGUCAAGAUCAGGCGAGUCCAUUAAACACCACAGGCCUCUACACAGCACCAGUGUGACACCCCUGGAGUACUGGGCCCCAGUGUUCUGGGCUCUCCAAUACAAGACAGACACGGACAUACUGGAACAAGUAAAGGCAAAGGACCUCAACAACGAUUACGGGACUGCAACACCUGAAAUACAAGGAGCGGGGGAAAGCUGACACUGCUCAGCCUGGAACAGGGAAGGCUCAGGGGGAAGAAGAUGAGCCAGACUCUUCUGGGUAUCCAGUGACAGGACAAAAGGAAAUGGGCACAAAAUGAGAAACACAAAACCUGUUCAAACGUAAGAAAAAACUUUUUAGUAAAAAAGAGAGUGAGUGAGCUCUAGAACAAGCUGCUGAGAGAGGCUGUGGGGUCUCCAUCCUUGGAGAUACUCAAAACCCAACCAGACCCAUCCUAGUCAGUCUGCUCUGGCUGACUCUGCUCCACGCAACAGCGUUAGACCAUACAGUCUCCAGAGGUGCCUUCCAGCCUCAACUACUCUAUGAUUCUAUGAGCUUUAAAAAGUGCUGUACCGCAGAUUAUUUAUGUUAUCAGCCUGAACAGUGCAAGGCUGCCAAGUUUAAAAGCUACAAAAAACAGGUCAAAGGCCGUAUUACCAUCAGGAGCUCAAAUUCCAGGUUUAUUAGGGAGCCACAGCGCAACAAUCCUCCUACCGAGCCUCUACAGCAGCAGUCUGUUAAUGCUGCAGUUCUAGUUUUCUCUCACCGAACCUAAACAAGGGAGCAAAUAGUGAAUUAAUUCUACAAAUACUUUUAGAAAAACCCCAACCAAUCAAAAA